UGAGGAAUAUUGGUCAAUGGCCGCAGGGCUGAACCAGCCAAGUCGCGUGAGGGAUGACGGUCCUAUGGAUUGUAAACCUCUUUUGUCAGGGAGCAAAGGGCGCCACGUGUGGCGUUUUGCGAGUACCUGAAGAAAAAGCAUCGGCUAACUCCGUGCCAGCAGCCGCGGUAAUACGGAGGAUGCGAGCGUUAUCCGGAUUUAUUGGGUUUAAAGGGUGCGCAGGCGGAAUGUCAAGUCAGCGGUAAAAUUUCGGGGCUCAACCCCGUCGUGCCGUUGAAACUGGCGUUCUUGAGUGAGCGAGAA
RNAcentral lists this ribosomal RNA (303 nucleotides) under uncultured bacterium. Its description in RNAcentral is "bacterial SSU rRNA". It matches the Rfam family "Bacterial small subunit ribosomal RNA", at positions 355 to 656 of the family's 1533-position model. The record is from RNAcentral.